GUGUCAGCAGCCGCGGUAAUACGGAGGGGGUUAGCGUUGUUCGGAAUUACUGGGCGUAAAGCGCACGUAGGCGGAUUAGAAAGUUAGAGGUGAAAUCCCAGGGCUCAACCCUGGAACUGCCUUUAAAACUCCUAGUCUUGAGUUCGAGAGAGGUGAGUGGAAUUCCAAGUGUAGAGGUGAAAUUCGUAGAUAUUUGGAGGAACACCAGUGGCGAAGGCGGCUCACUGGCUCGAUACUGACGCUGAGGUGCGAAAGUGUGGGGAGCAAACAGGAUUAGAUACCCUGGUAGUCCACACCGUAAACGAUGAAUGCCAGUCGUCGGGUAGUAUACUAUUCGGUGACACACCUAACGGAUUAAGCAUUCCGCCUGGGGAGUACGGUCGCAAGAUUAAAACUUAAAUGAAUUGACGGGG
RNAcentral lists this ribosomal RNA (413 nucleotides) under uncultured bacterium. RNAcentral describes it as "bacterial SSU rRNA". It matches the Rfam family "Bacterial small subunit ribosomal RNA", at positions 505 to 918 of the family's 1533-position model. The record is from RNAcentral.